UCCAAGCAUGACUUACAGAAGUUAUGUGCACAGGGUGUUGUAAUUGGUUGAGUCAUCACUUGGCCACAGAUUUGACAACUGAACUCUUUUAGAAGCUUCUCCCUCACAUUUGUACUCUGUGCUUUCUUUAUGGCUUUCUGUGACCUCUUCCUGUCCUCAGGAUUUCCGGUAUCAACCGGCUUUUGGCUNUUUUGGCUCGGAGGUGGAGGUUUUUUCCACUUCCAGCGACCGUCUUCUUCAUCAUAGUCCCAUGAUGGACUUUCCUUUCUCUCUGUUUUGUCAGUUGCCUUGGCCAGCUCUUUUACAACAGGCAAAGGCCUAGGUCGGUCCCCAUGCUCAUCACUUGUCCACGGUGCAGGUUCAUUGUCACAUCUAACAAAUAAGUACCGGCAGACCUUGUAACCUUGAAUUCCAACCUUACGCCAACAUUUUUCUAUUCUAUAGACCCCAUCAUAUCGCACCCCACUCUCAGGGGC
Molecule: unclassified non-coding RNA, 476 nt
Filed under: Hevea brasiliensis (rubber tree)
Lineage: Eukaryota; Viridiplantae; Streptophyta; Magnoliopsida; Malpighiales; Euphorbiaceae
Source: RNAcentral